RNAcentral lists this long non-coding RNA (351 nucleotides) under Saimiri boliviensis boliviensis (Bolivian squirrel monkey). Its description in RNAcentral is "lncRNA (ENSSBOG00000036533.1)". Lineage: Eukaryota; Metazoa; Chordata; Mammalia; Primates; Cebidae. The record is from RNAcentral.
ACACAGCGGCACCCAGUGACCGGCCCUGGCUUUGAUCUUGGGAGCUUUCCUCGCCACCCAAGAGGCUCUGAGGUCAUCUCUGUCUCAGAAAAUCAGCAAGAUCAACAGCAGGACAGUAGGGACUGCCGGCCACUGUCAUCUGCAUCAUGUUCAGAUUUUAUUGCUCCUGCUUCAUGAUAUCAAAGCCACAUGAUGAUAUCUGUGACUGGUGCAGAACAGCCCAGAUGGUUCUGGAAGCACCGUGGUCUGACCCGUCCUGACAGAUGAUCCAGUCAUGAAAUGCUGGUGCCGGUGUGGUUGGAGCUGUCCUCUCCUCUUUUCACUCUCUGGAAUCAAGACCCUGAAGUCCAG